Helianthus annuus (common sunflower) is the source of this 1385-nucleotide long non-coding RNA. RefSeq lists it as uncharacterized. Lineage: Eukaryota; Viridiplantae; Streptophyta; Magnoliopsida; Asterales; Asteraceae. The record is from RefSeq and is a predicted model, not a curated record. The transcript has 5 exons.
UUGGCAGAAAGAAAAUUAUAAGAAGAUUGAACUCUUGUUGAUGUUGAUAUCCUUCAUCGCGCGAUUUUGAUCAUGAAAAUGAUAAAAAAAAAAUGGGUUAGUUUUAGCGAUUAUACACUCCAAUCGUCAAAAUAAUCACCAUGGGCAAGUGGGAAUUUUAUUGCUCCCGUUUCCUCUUCUUCAAUUCCUCAAUCUCUGUACUUUUAAGGUUCUCACAGCAGCAGUUAUCAGAGCACUUUGAGCCAUGUGACUUUGUAUUUCCAGGCAUUAUGUAUUUACUUAUGCAGGCUCCUGUGGUAGCUAUUGAUAUGAAGGGUGAAAUGUCUGGUUUCAUCGCUUUGCUAUGACUUAUGAUGGUAUCCUCUUUCAUAUAACACGAGUGAGUGUUAUUCAAUGCUAUAGUCAAGAAGCUUCACCAAAUUCUUUUCUCGUGGGGCCUACUCAAUCAUAUGAUGCAUAUCAAAUUUCUGCAUCCCGAAGUGAUUUGUUGGAACCUCCAAUGCGUCAACCAGAAAUUACUCAGCCUGUGUUCGUGCCGGAAAAUAACAAAAAAACAACGGGUCGGAAGAAUAAGAAGAAUGUGGAAUCCAAAUGUAAAGUCGACAAACGCCAGUUAGCAUCAGACACCACCGAUGGAGUAAAUACGAAGACAGGUUGCUGGUGGAGCAACACGGUGGGCCCACAUUGCUGAAAAGUUCCCUUUGAGGAUCGCGAAGCAAUGCAGAGAUAGAUGGCAUAACUGUUUGAGUCCAAACAUUGUGAAAUAUGGAUGGUCCGAGGAAGAUGACAAGUUACUCGUUUCAUUACACAAACAAUUUGGAAAUAAAUGGGCAGAUAUUGCAAGAAACAUGCCUGGAAGAUGUGAAAAUAGCAUAAAAAACCAUUGGAAUGCAACCAAAAGAAAUCAGUUUAAGAUUUCAUCCAAUGGUUAAUAAAAACUAAAUACCAUUCCUAUCUUUUAAAAGAUUACAUCACAAGUAUCUCAUCUGAUAAUCAGAUUAAUACCCAAGAAAGCUCGGGUUUUGACCCUCAAAAUCAUGAAUCCGUGACGAGCUUGAAUGCCAUGUCAUCGUCUUUUCCAGGUUCUUGGGUCGGUUACAAGCCUGAUGAGUUGGUGGUCGAAUGGAUUGGUUUUGAUUUUCAUCAAGUCUCGUCUCACUUGGUUGAUCAACUGCAGUUUGAUUCACAGAAUUUUACGGGUUUUAUAGGUUCACCUUUCGGCGUCGGUUUUAGGUAAUUUUUUUUUCUUUUUUUUCUUUUGAGAGUUAGAAGACUUUAAACUUGUGCUUUUGUGGCUUUUCGGGUGGAACAUGGAAUUGUGUUUUGAGGUUUGUUUUUGCUUGGUUAAGGUUUUGGAUUUUAUGUUAUGGGUCUUGUUUUGAGUA